AAGAGGACUGUGAGGGGGACCAGGUAAUAUACCACCGAAGUGUGUUUCUCUGGUUCACUUCUCUCUUUGACGGAACCCCGUCAAAGAGGACUGUGAGGGGGACCAGGUAAUAUACCACCGAAGUGUGUUUCUCUGGUUCACUUCUCUCUUUGACGGAACCCCGUCAAAGAGGACUGUGAGGGGGACCAGGUAAUAUACCACCGAAGUGUGUUUCUCUGGUUCACUUCUCUCUUUGACGGAACCCCGUCUCUAGAUAU
RNAcentral lists this small RNA (257 nucleotides) under synthetic construct. Its description in RNAcentral is "P475b9-pQE". The record is from RNAcentral.